CAAGGCAUAGCUACAAUACAAAGCACUCAGCUUACACCUGAAAGACGUCUGUGACUAAUCAGACUGCCUUGA
This 72-nucleotide transfer RNA is filed under the name Ceuthmochares aereus. RNAcentral describes it as "tRNA-Val". The record is from RNAcentral. Lineage: Eukaryota; Metazoa; Chordata; Aves; Cuculiformes; Cuculidae.